This 573-nucleotide ribosomal RNA is filed under the name uncultured bacterium. Its description in RNAcentral is "bacterial SSU rRNA". It matches the Rfam family "Bacterial small subunit ribosomal RNA", at positions 57 to 676 of the family's 1533-position model. The record is from RNAcentral.
GCAAGUCGAGCGCGCCCUUCGGGGUGAGCGGCGGACGGGUUAGUAACGCGUGGGAAUAUGCCCAAAGGUACGGAAUAGCCUCUGGAAACGGAGAGUAAUACCGUAUGUGCCCUUCGGGGGAAAGAUUUAUCGCCUUUGGAUUAGCCCGCGUUAGAUUAGGUAGUUGGUGGGGUAAUGGCCUACCAAGCCUACGAUCUAUAGCUGGUUUUAGAGGAUGAUCAGCAACACUGGGACUGAGACACGGCCCAGACUCCUACGGGAGGCAGCAGUGGGGAAUCUUGGACAAUGGGCGCAAGCCUGAUCCAGCCAUGCCGCGUGAGUGAUGAAGGCCUUAGGGUCGUAAAGCUCUUUCGCCAGGGAUGAUAAUGACAGUACCUGGUAAAGAAACCCCGGCUAACUCCGUGCCAGCAGCCGCGGUAAUACGGAGGGGGUUAGCGUUGUUCGGAAUUACUGGGCGUAAAGCGCGCGUAUGCGGAUCGGAAAGUUGGGGGUGAAAUCCCGGGGCUCAAACCCGGAACCGCCUCCAAAACUAUCGGUCUAGAGUUCGAGAGAGGUGAGUGGAAUUCCGAGUGU